GAUGAACGCUGGCGGCGUGCCUAAUACAUGCAAGUCGAACGCAUAGCGAAAGGUGCUUGCACCUUUCAAGUGAGUGGCGAACGGGUGAGUAACACGUGGACAACCUGCCUCAAGGCUGGGGAUAACAUUUGGAAACAGAUGCUAAUACCGAAUAAAACUUAGUGUCGCAUGACACAAAGUUAAAAGGCGCUUCGGCGUCACCUAGAGAUGGAUCCGCGGUGCAUUAGUUAGUUGGUGGGGUAAAGGCCUACCAAGACAAUGAUGCAUAGCCGAGUUGAGGGACUGAUCGGCCACAUUGGGACUGAGACACGGCCCAAACUCCUACGGGAGGCUGCAGUAGGGAAUCUUCCACAAUGGGCGAAAGCCUGAUGGAGCAACGCCGCGUGUGUGAUGAAGGCUUUCGGGUCGUAAAGCACUGUUGUAUGGGAAGAACAGCUAGAAUAGGAAAUGAUUUUAGUUUGACGGUACCAUACCAGAAAGGGACGGCUAAAUACGUG
Molecule: ribosomal RNA, 497 nt
Filed under: uncultured bacterium
Lineage: Bacteria
Description: partial 16S ribosomal RNA
Rfam family: Bacterial small subunit ribosomal RNA
Source: RNAcentral